This 959-nucleotide ribosomal RNA is filed under the name uncultured bacterium. RNAcentral's name for it is "bacterial SSU rRNA". It matches the Rfam family "Bacterial small subunit ribosomal RNA", at positions 523 to 1482 of the family's 1533-position model. The record is from RNAcentral.
AUACGGAGGGUGCAAGCGUUAAUCGGAAUUACUGGGCGUAAAGCGCACGCAGGCGGUUUGUUAAGUCAGAUGUGAAAUCCCCGGGCUCAACCUGGGAACUGCAUCUGAUACUGGCAAGCUUGAGUCUCGUAGAGGGGGGUAGAAUUCCAGGUGUAGCGGUGAAAUGCGUAGAGAUCUGGAGGAAUACCGGUGGCGAAGGCGGCCCCCUGGACGAAGACUGACGCUCAGGUGCGAAAGCGUGGGGAGCAAAUAGGAUUAGAUACCCUGGUAGUCCGCGCCGUAAACGAUGUCGACUUGGAGGUUGUGCCCUUGAGGCGUGGCUUCCGGAGCUAACGCGUUAAGUCGACCGCCUGGGGAGUACGGCCGCAAGGUUAAAACUCAAAUGAAUUGACGGGGGCCCGCACAAGCGGUGGAGCAUGUGGUUUAAUUCGAUGCAACGCGAAGAACCUUACCUGGUCUUGACAUCCACAGAACUUUCCAGAGAUGGAUUGGUGCCUUCGGGAACUGUGAGACAGGUGCUGCAUGGCUGUCGCCAGCUCGUGUUGUGAAAUGUUGGGUUAAGUCCCGCAACGAGCGCAACCCUUAUCCUUUGUUGCCAGCGGUCCGGCCGGGAACUCAAAGGAGACUGCCAGUGAUAAACUGGAGGAAGGUGGGGAUGACGUCAAGUCAUCAUGGCCCUUACGACCAGGGCUACACACGUGCUACAAUGGCGCAUACAAAGAGAAGCGACCUCGCGAGAGCAAGCGGACCUCAUAAAGUGCGUCGUAGUCCGGAUUGGAGUCUGCAACUCGACUCCAUGAAGUCGGAAUCGCUAGUAAUCGUGGAUCAGAAUGCCACGGUGAAUACGUUCCCGGGCCUUGUACACACCGCCCGUCACACCAUGGGAGUGGGUUGCAAAAGAAGUAGGUAGCUUAACCUUCGGGAGGGCGCUUACCACUUUGUGAUUCAUGACUGGGGUG